AGGACCUGAAAUGUCCGGACAUCAAAGAAAAAAGAGGAGAAAGAAAAUUGAUUCAUCUCCUUCCUCACAACACUGUCGAAACAACCAUGGUCCUCGAUUGAGAUAAGUGUCGAUGAGCUAGAGAGACAUCAAGAGCUUUAAAUUCAGUAUCCAACUCCAAUCCAGGACCUGAAAGUUGCCGAGCUUAAGGUGUUUUCACCUAAGACAUUCCAAGUCUCACGAAUGUCAUGAAAACAAGCUUAAUGAAGACUUCUUCUGCUCUACAACGACAGAUCUGAUUCUCCAGCUGGACUCAUGCCUCUCCAUUGCCUGCAUAUCCCUAGAAUUCCAAAAGGAACAAUGUUUCGCCAUAUUUCUCGACUCUCAGCAGAUUGAGCUUAAAAGCUGAUACCACUGCUUGAAAUUCAAUAAAGAUAGGUUUGAAGCUGUUGUUAUUUUGAAGGUGUUGUUAAUGUAUGCAUACAAAGCACAUGAACACGCUCAUGAACAAUCAUAUGUUUUGUAUCCAAUAUAUGAUGCAUAAGGCUUGAAAGUGCUUGAUUUUUUUUUAAGUUUCGUAUUUGCUUGUUCUUUAUUUGAAUGGCAUACAAUAUUUUUUUGUAUGCCAUUAUGUUUAAUUAAUUAUCCUUAUGCAUACAAUCAUAUGUUUUGUAUCCAAUAUAUGAUGCAUAAGGCUUGAAAGUGCUUGAUUUUUUUGUUUCAUAGUUGUUU
This is a long non-coding RNA of Solanum tuberosum (potato), 711 nucleotides long. RefSeq lists it as uncharacterized. Lineage: Eukaryota; Viridiplantae; Streptophyta; Magnoliopsida; Solanales; Solanaceae. The record is from RefSeq and is a predicted model, not a curated record. The transcript is spliced from 4 exons.